Molecule: long non-coding RNA, 401 nt
Organism: Daphnia carinata
Lineage: Eukaryota; Metazoa; Arthropoda; Branchiopoda; Diplostraca; Daphniidae
Exons: 3
Source: RefSeq, a predicted model, not a curated record
UUUUCAAGCGCCAUUUUUCUUUUUGUUCGUUCUCGUUUCUCUGCAUUCAGGAGGGUAAUCCCUGGGGGCAGAAGAGGAUGGCUGGACAACGAGGAUCGCCGCCAGAAAUCACGCCCAGAGUUGCCAAGAGGGCUUACAUCAUUGCCGAAGAGGACUACUGGACAACGAAGAUCGCCGCCAGACAGUUGCAUACGGCGUUCAAGAGGACCUUCGUAACCACCGAAGAGGACCAUUAGACGUCGGGGAUCACCGCAGGAGCAAACAAACUCGUCGCCAUAGAUUAUCAGGUAUUAACCUUUAAAAUUUAAGUGGUUAAUUGUGUGUGUUUUUUGUAUUUAUAGGAGGGCUCAUCACCACCGAAGAGGCUGGUUGGACAACGUGGAACGACGCUACGACCGUCG